This 479-nucleotide ribosomal RNA is filed under the name Cladosporium sphaerospermum. Its description in RNAcentral is "eukaryotic LSU rRNA". The stretch from base 128 to 281 matches the Rfam family "5.8S ribosomal RNA". Lineage: Eukaryota; Fungi; Ascomycota; Dothideomycetes; Cladosporiales; Cladosporiaceae. The record is from RNAcentral.
UAACCCUUUGUUGUCCGACUCUGUUGCCUCCGGGGCGACCCUGCCUUUCCGGGCGGGGGCCCCGGCUGGACACCACAAAACUCUUGCGUAACUUUGCAGUCUGAGUAAAUUUUAAUUAAUAAAUUAAAACUUUCAACAACGGAUCUCUUGGUUCUGGCAUCGAUGAAGAACGCAGCGAAAUGCGAUAAGUAAUGUGAAUUGCAGAAUUCAGUGAAUCAUCGAAUCUUUGAACGCACAUUGCGCCCCCUGGUAUUCCGGGGGGCAUGCCUGUUCGAGCGUCAUUUCACCACUCAAGCCUCGCUUGGUAUUGGGCGACGCGGUCCGCCGCGCGCCUCAAAUCGACCGGCUGGGUCUUCUGUCCCCUCAGCGUUGUGGAAACUAUUCGCUAAAGGGUGCCACGGGAGGUCACGCCGUAAAACAAGCCCAUUUCUAAGGUUGACCUCGGAUCAGGUAGGGAUACCCGCUGAACUUAAGCAUAU